This 33-nucleotide ribosomal RNA is filed under the name Bulbophyllum melloi. Its description in RNAcentral is "partial 28S ribosomal RNA". The record is from RNAcentral. Lineage: Eukaryota; Viridiplantae; Streptophyta; Magnoliopsida; Asparagales; Orchidaceae.
GCGACCCCAGGAUGGGCGAGGCCACCCGCUGAU